AGCUAUUUAGCUUAUAAUAAAGCGUUUACUUUGAAAGUAAAAUUAAAGGUAUUAACUUAUUAGCUU
This 66-nucleotide transfer RNA is filed under the name Kapsa arca. RNAcentral describes it as "tRNA-Ser". It matches the Rfam family "tRNA". Rfam says of the family: Transfer RNA (tRNA) molecules are approximately 80 nucleotides in length. Their secondary structure includes four short double-helical elements and three loops (D, anti-codon, and T loops). Lineage: Eukaryota; Metazoa; Arthropoda; Insecta; Hemiptera; Cicadellidae. The record is from RNAcentral.